RNAcentral lists this ribosomal RNA (440 nucleotides) under uncultured bacterium. Its description in RNAcentral is "partial 16S ribosomal RNA". It matches the Rfam family "Bacterial small subunit ribosomal RNA", at positions 338 to 795 of the family's 1533-position model. The record is from RNAcentral.
CCUACGGGAGGCAGCAGUGGGGAAUAUUGGACAAUGGGGGAAACCCUGAUCCAGCGACGCCGCGUGAGUGAAGAAGUAUCUCGGUACGUAAAGCUCUAUCAGCAGGGAAGAAAAUGACGGUACCUGACCAAGAAGCCCCGGCUAACUACGUGCCAGCAGCCGCGGUAAUACGUAGGGGGCAAGCGUUAUCCGGAUUUACUGGGUGUAAAGGGAGCGUAGACGGCAGCGCAAGUCUGGAGUGAAAUGCCGGGGCCCAACCCCGGAACUGCUCUGGAAACUGUGAGGCUGGAGUGCAGGAGAGGUAAGCGGAAUUCCUGGUGUAGCGGUGAAAUGCGUAGAUAUCAGGAGGAACACCGGCGGCGAAGGCGGCUUACUGGACUGUAACUGACGUUGAGGCUCGAAAGCGUGGGGAGCAAACAGGAUUAGAUACCCCAGUAGUC